GUCUUUUUGUGUACCAUAAAAAGUCGUGCCUUCCCAGUGGGUUUUAACCUAAACGGAUGCGGUAAAUCGUGCUAAGGUAGCUAAAUUAUGGCCCAUUAAUUGUGGGUCUUGCGAACGGCUUGACGAGUUCCCUACUGUCUCAAAGUUGUUUUGGUGAACUUGAAUUGGAUGUGUAAAUGCUUCCAUGAGUGAGAAAGACGAGAAGACCCCGUGAAGUUAGAAAUUUUUUAUCUAGUAUGAAUUUUCAGUUUUUUUUGAGUUUGUAGAUGUAAGUUGAGAUCUCGAGAGUUGAAAAAUAUGGUUCUAUUGUUUUGGCUGGGGCAGCAAGAAGGCAAAACUAGACCUUCUUUAUUAAAAAACGGGUGCGUUACGACCCAUAGUUUUGAAAGGAAUGAUUAUCAGAAGAAGUUACUCCGGGGAUAACAGCGUUAUCCGUCCUGAUAGUCCUUAUAGAUGGGCGGGUUUGCGACCUCGAUGUUGGCUCUGGUUAUCCUGAGGCUUGCAGGAGGUCUCGAGGGUUGGUUUGUUCGCCCAUUAAAAUCCG
RNAcentral lists this ribosomal RNA (544 nucleotides) under Mimachlamys nobilis (noble scallop). RNAcentral describes it as "partial 16S ribosomal RNA". It matches the Rfam family "Bacterial large subunit ribosomal RNA", at positions 1819 to 2597 of the family's 2925-position model. The record is from RNAcentral. Lineage: Eukaryota; Metazoa; Mollusca; Bivalvia; Pectinida; Pectinidae.